RNAcentral lists this ribosomal RNA (447 nucleotides) under uncultured bacterium. RNAcentral describes it as "bacterial SSU rRNA". It matches the Rfam family "Bacterial small subunit ribosomal RNA", at positions 38 to 507 of the family's 1533-position model. The record is from RNAcentral.
GGCGGCGUGCCUAACACAUGCAAGUCGAACGGAAGUUAGAGCUUCGGGUGAGCGGCGGACGGGUGAGUAACGCGUGGGUAACCUGCCCUGUACACACGGAUAAUAUACCGAAAGGUAUGCUAAUACGAGAUAAUAUAUUUUAAUCGCAUGGUUAAGAUAUCAAAGCUCCGGCGGUACAGGAUGGACCCGCGUCUGAUUAGCUAGUUGGUGAGGUAAUGGCUCACCAAGGCGACGAUCAGUAGCCGACCUGAGAGGGUGAUCGGCCACACUGGAACUGAGACACGGUCCAGACUCCUACGGGAGGCAGCAGUGGGGAAUAUUGGGCAAUGGGCGCAAGCCUGACCCAGCAACGCCGCGUGAAGGAAGAAGGCUUUCGGGUUGUAAACUUCUUUUGUCAGGGAAGAGUAGAAGACUGUACCUGGCGAAUAAGCCACGGCUAACUACGUG